CCCUUAGAUGUUCUGGGCCGCACGCGCGCUACACUGACGAAUGCAACGAGCUUAUAACCUUGGCCGAAAGGUCUGGGUAAUCUCCAAAUUUCGUCGUGAUGGGGAUAGAUUAUUGCAAUUAUUAAUCUUCAACGAGGAAUGCCUAGUAAGCGCAAGUCAUCAGCUUGCGUUGAUUACGUCCCUGCCCUUUGUACACACCGCCCGUCGCUCCUACCGAUGAGCAAUCCGGUGAAUAAUUCGGACCGAUAGAUUACCUGGUUCGCCAGGUUUUUUGUUGGAAAGUCUAGUGAACCUUAUUGCUUAGAGGAAGGAGAAGUCGUAACA
RNAcentral lists this ribosomal RNA (324 nucleotides) under uncultured eukaryote. RNAcentral describes it as "partial 18S ribosomal RNA". It matches the Rfam family "Eukaryotic small subunit ribosomal RNA", at positions 1470 to 1796 of the family's 1831-position model. The record is from RNAcentral.